This 468-nucleotide ribosomal RNA is filed under the name uncultured bacterium. RNAcentral's name for it is "partial 16S ribosomal RNA". It matches the Rfam family "Bacterial small subunit ribosomal RNA", at positions 28 to 507 of the family's 1533-position model. The record is from RNAcentral.
GACGAACGCUGGCGGCGUGCUUAACACAUGCAGGUCGAACGGAAAGGCCCUGCUUUUGUGGGGUGCUCGAGUGGCGAACGGGUGAGUAACACGUGAGUAACCUGCCCUUGACUUUGGGAUAACUUCAGGAAACUGGGGCUAAUACCGGAUAGGAGCUCCUGCUGCAUGUUGGGGGUUGGAAAGUUUCGGCGGUUGGGGAUGGACUCGCGGCUUAUCAGCUUGUUGGUGGGGUAGUGGCUUACCAAGGCUUUGACGGGUAGCCGGCCUGAGAGGGUGACCGGCCACAUUGGGACUGAGAUACGGCCCAGACUCCUACGGGAGGCAGCAGUGGGGAAUAUUGCACAAUGGGCGGAAGCCUGAUGCAGCAACGCCGCGUGCGGGAUGACGGCCUUCGGGUUGUAAACCGCUUUCGCCUGUGACGAAGCGUGAGUGACGGUAAUGGGUAAAGAAGCACCGGCUAACUACGUG